Long non-coding RNA from Brachypodium distachyon (stiff brome), 864 nucleotides. RefSeq lists it as uncharacterized. The transcript is spliced from 3 exons. Lineage: Eukaryota; Viridiplantae; Streptophyta; Magnoliopsida; Poales; Poaceae. The record is from RefSeq and is a predicted model, not a curated record.
ACUAGUGCUCACCCCCAAAGCCAUCGUGGCCGGGCCCCAUGAUCCCCGCCUCCCGCCCUUGAAACUCCUCCGCUUGAACCAGCCCCCAAGCUGGCGGAGGCGAUCGAACGCCUGCUCAAGGAAGGGGGCGGCACCAGAGGCGCGCGGUGGCGGAGGGAGCUCUUGGAGGUAUUCUGCGGGGAGGUGCACUUUGAAGGGCUUAGUACAAAGCAACUAAUGGCUUGCGUGUGUUGUGUCUCACUGGUUGUUUCAGUAUAGCUCCGGUAGUGUUACUCAUCUGAAUGCCACUAUUUUUGAGGUGUUAGUUACUGUAUUUUGUUUACUGACAUUCACCUUCCUGCAUAUAACCUCAAAUCUAUGGAUCUGAUGGCCUUAACCUGUGGUUCCUAGCCCUCCCUGCUGUGGCAGUAAAGAAGAUUGACCGUGGCAUGUUUUCCAGCAAGACCAUGAAUUGCAGUCAAUUUGAGGCUAGCUACACUGCAACAAGCGGUCAACGAUCCUCAUUCCCUCUCGGUUCCCGGCGUCGCGCUCAGCCAUGAGGAUGACAAAGAGUUCCAAGACAGCAAAGCUGAGGAGGAAGCCGAGGAUGGUUACGGCGGUGAUGUUCCCGGAGUCGAUGGCGCCGUAGGAUGUCACCAAGAGCACGCAGCCGACGCACAAGAUUAGCACCAUGCACACCAGCCUGCUGCACUCCCUCGGCUCGGCGGCCAUCAUCGUCUCCUCCUCCUCGUCGUGGUGCCCAGGGUUCUCCACGUCGGCCAUGAUCCUCUCUUUUUUUUGGCAGCGCUAGUCUAGAGUGCCUCCCGUCCCGGACGGGAUUUGUAGAAGAAGAUUAAUUGUUUUGUUCCAGCUCUAGCUAGUCCC